UACGUAGGGGGCAAGCGUUGUCCGGAUUUAUUGGGCGUAAAGAGCGUGUAGGCGGCCUUACAGAUCAGCUGUGAAAACUCGAGGCUCAACCUCGAGACGUCGGUUGAAACCGUAAGGCUAGAGUCCGGAAGAGGAGAGUGGAAUUCCCGGUGUAGCGGUGAAAUGCGCAGAUAUCGGGAAGAACACCCGUGGCGAAGGCGGCUAUCUGGGACGGUACUGACGCUGAGACGCGAAAGCGUGGGGAGCGAACAGG
Molecule: ribosomal RNA, 253 nt
Filed under: uncultured bacterium
Lineage: Bacteria
Description: partial 16S ribosomal RNA
Rfam family: Bacterial small subunit ribosomal RNA
Source: RNAcentral